RNAcentral lists this ribosomal RNA (281 nucleotides) under uncultured Methanomicrobiales archaeon. RNAcentral describes it as "partial 16S ribosomal RNA". It matches the Rfam family "Archaeal small subunit ribosomal RNA", at positions 1062 to 1338 of the family's 1478-position model. The record is from RNAcentral. Lineage: Archaea; Methanobacteriati; Methanobacteriota; Methanomicrobia; Methanomicrobiales.
AGUUGCCAGCUCGGUCCUCCCGGGGAUGGUGGGGACGACUGUUGGGACCGCCUCUGCUAAAGAGGAGGAAGGAAUGGGCAACGGUAGGUCAGCAUGCCCCGAAUUAUCUGGGCUACACGCGGGCUACAAUGGGUGGGACAAUGGGUAUCGACACCGAAAGGUGAAGGCAAUCUCCUAAACCCAUCCGUAGUUCGGAUUGUGGGCUGCAACUCGCCCACAUGAAGCUGGAAUCUGUAGUAAUCGUGUCUCAAAAUGGCACGGUGAAUAUGUCCCUGCUCCUU